Molecule: long non-coding RNA, 465 nt
Organism: Cicer arietinum (chickpea)
Lineage: Eukaryota; Viridiplantae; Streptophyta; Magnoliopsida; Fabales; Fabaceae
Source: RefSeq, a predicted model, not a curated record
GCUUUAUUCAUUCUCUUUGUGCGGCUUUAUUCAUUCUCUUUGUGCGGCUUUAUUCAUUCUCUUUGUGCGGCUUUAUUCAUUCUCUUUGUGCGGCUUUAUUCAUUCUCUUUGUGCGGCUUUAUUCAUUCUCUUUGUGCGGCUUUAUUCAUUCUCUUUGUGCGGCUUUAUUCAUUCUCUUUGUGCGGCUUUAUUCAUUCUCUUUGUGCGGCUUUAUUCAUUCUCUUUGUGCGUCUCUGUAUCAACCAUCUGUGCGUUAGGGUUUCAUCUAAACCCUCCACUCCUCCAUUCAAUCGCCAUAAUUCACUCUUGAUUAAUUGCGCGCGCUCUGUUCUAGUUACUAUGCCACAAGAUUUGAAAUUCCCUUACCCCUGUUUUGAUUCAUUGCAAUUGAGGAAAGGUGGUAUGCCAAGUAUGAUUGGUCUUCCUUCAGAUCAUGCACUUGUUGAGGAUGAUGAAUGCUUAAGG